UACGUAGGGGGCGAGCGUUGUCCGGAAUCAUUGGGCGUAAAGCGCGUGUAGGCGGCCCGGUAAGUCCGCUGUGAAAGUCCAGGGCUCAACCCUGGGAUGCCGGUGGAUACUGUCGGGCUCGAGUCCGGAAGAGGCGAGUGGCAUUCCUGGUGUAGCGGUGAAAUGCGCAGAUAUCAGGAGGAACACCAAUGGCGAAGGCAGCUCGCUGGGACGUGACUGACGCUGAGACGCGAAAGCGUGGGGAGCAAACAGG
This 253-nucleotide ribosomal RNA is filed under the name uncultured bacterium. Its description in RNAcentral is "partial 16S ribosomal RNA". It matches the Rfam family "Bacterial small subunit ribosomal RNA", at positions 524 to 776 of the family's 1533-position model. The record is from RNAcentral.